This 450-nucleotide ribosomal RNA is filed under the name uncultured bacterium. RNAcentral describes it as "bacterial SSU rRNA". It matches the Rfam family "Bacterial small subunit ribosomal RNA", at positions 328 to 794 of the family's 1533-position model. The record is from RNAcentral.
GAACCAGACUCCUACGGGAGGCAGCAGUGGGGGAUAUUGCACAAUGGGGGAAACCCUGAUGCAGCGACGCCGCGUGAGUGAAGAAGUAUUUCGGUAUGUAAAGCUCUAUCAGCAGGGAAGAAAAAAGACGGUACCUGACUAAGAAGCCCCGGCUAACUACGUGCCAGCAGCCGCGGUAAUACGUAGGGGGCAAGCGUUAUCCGGAUUUACUGGGUGUAAAGGGAGCGUAGACGGCAGCACAAGUCUGGAGUGAAGUCCCGGGGCUUAACCCCGGAACUGCUUUGGAAACUGUGCGGCUGGAGUGCAGGAGGGGUAAGCGGAAUUCCUAGUGUAGCGGUGAAAUGCGUAGAUAUUAGGAGGAACACCGGUGGCGAAGGCGGCUUACUGGACUGUAACUGACGUCGAGGCUCGAAAGCGUGGGGAGCAAACAGGAUUAGAUACCCUCGUAGC